AUGGCCAGCAACCAAUGGAUUGCGAAUAUUGACAGCUCCAAUGGCCUCUCCCUUGAACACAUCCAACAGUUUGCUAACCUUUGGGACAAACUAGCAACAGUGGCACUCGAUGACGACGUUGAAGACUCAAUUAUUUGGAAGUUCACCAAAGAUGGGAUAUAUUCUGCAUCCUCGGCUUACAAGGCUCAAUUUGAAGGCCUCACCACCUCGGACCUUGUCCAUUCGGUGUGGACGGUGUGGGCGCCCCCUCGGUGCAAGUUUUUUGCUUGGCUCGUUCUUCAAGAUAGGAUUUGGACUUCGGACCGCUUGAGCCGCCGUGGUUGGCCUAAUUGCGGUCUAUGCCCUCUUUGCAAGCAAACCCAAGAAACCGCGGCUCAUCUGCUUUUCCAGUGCCGCUACACCAUGCGCAUUUGGAAUGACGUCCUCCCAUGGCUCGGCAUGCAUCACAUCACCACGUCUACCUGGGUGACAAGGGCUUCGGUCAGAGAAUGGUGGAACGCUAACCUGCAGAUCCGUCUCAGCUCGCCCAAGGCGCUCGCCUCCCUCAUGAUGCUCAUCUCUUGGGAGGUUUGGUUGGAGCGCAAUGCUAGAGUCUUCCGCAACUCAGCGGCCCCUUCCAUGACCAUCAUCAGCAAAAUCAAGCAGGAGGUAUCGCUUUGGGCUUUGGCUGGAGCGAAGCAUUUGGGUGGUGUAAUGCCGCGAGAGUAG
This 708-nucleotide ribosomal RNA is filed under the name Triticum aestivum (bread wheat). RNAcentral's name for it is "partial small subunit ribosomal RNA". The record is from RNAcentral. Lineage: Eukaryota; Viridiplantae; Streptophyta; Magnoliopsida; Poales; Poaceae.